Long non-coding RNA from Phyllostomus hastatus (greater spear-nosed bat), 770 nucleotides. RefSeq lists it as uncharacterized. The transcript is spliced from 3 exons. NCBI's taxonomy places the organism in Eukaryota, Metazoa, Chordata, Mammalia, Chiroptera, Phyllostomidae. The record is from RefSeq and is a predicted model, not a curated record.
GCUCCUGCAGUGGGUUCCUUGUGGUCACCAGGGUGUGCUGGACAAAGCCUGCGGCAGGCAGUGUGGUCCUGGGGUCUCCGAUCAUCUGGGACAUGCUUCAGGGGUCCCUGCUGUUGGAAAGGCUCGAUCCUGAGGGGCAGUAGACAAUUUCUCUGACUGUUGGUGAAGCCAGCGCUGACCUCCACUGAGCUGCCAGCGGAGCAGAACACAGGCAGGCAGUCCGGGUACCCAGGUGCAGGCAAACGCACCCACAGGUGUGUCUAAGAGGGCCCAGGUACGACCUGAGGACAGAGCACGGCACCUCACGGCACCUCACGGCACUCGGCCCCACGCACCUGCAGUGCUCUCUGAGUCAGGGGCCCGCAGCCUCCAGCCUCCGCUGGUCAGGAAGGAGGGGCCUCGGCGUGUCUGCUGCUCCCCAGGGCAUCUCCGCCCAAGGACAAGUUACCACUCUUUUAUAACAAUAUUAAAGUCAGCAACAUCUAUUCCACCCCAAAGCCCGAAAACCACAGACCUAAUCUGGGCAGGCCCGCCGUCCUGGUGACUGGAAGGACAGGAAGAUGAGUAACCGCCAGCAGACGGGAGCGGCGCUCAGCACCCAGACGCUGGGAGUGGGACGCGGAGCCAGCACCACCCACGUGGCAGCGCCUGCUCCUCAUGGUCCCCGCAGGCAGGCUCGGGGGCGCGCUCCAUGAGCCCUUCUCGGGCUCUGAACUCUCGGCUUGAAAAGCAAAUGUGUUCACUCCAUGGGGACAAUAAACUGAUUAACU